Molecule: ribosomal RNA, 835 nt
Filed under: uncultured fungus
Lineage: Eukaryota; Fungi
Description: eukaryotic LSU rRNA
Rfam family: Eukaryotic large subunit ribosomal RNA
Source: RNAcentral
AUGACUCGUCUACUGUGCGAUUAGAUUUAUUCGGCCGCCAAUUAUUCCUCUCUACCCGCACUACUUCAUCUUAUUAAUACGGAGGAGGAGAAGAUACUAACAGAGGAUCUCCCUCAACAGCGGACGAGUGAGGCGGGAAGAGCUCAUAUUUAACAUCUGGCGUAAAAGCCCGAAUAGUGUACUCUAGAGAGGCUUUAUCGGACUCUAGUUUAUCGUACAAGUUUCCUGGAAUGGAACAUCACAGAGGGUGAGAAUCCCGUCUGGACGAUGGACUAGUGGCCAUAUGAGACGUUCUCAGAGAGUCGAGUUGUUUGGGAUUGCAGCUCAAAAUGGGAGGUAAAUUUCUUCUAAGGCUAAAUAACGGCAAGAGACCGAUAGCAAACAAGUACCGUGAGGGAAAGAUGAAAAGCACCUUGAAAAGGGAGUUAAAAGCGCGUGAAAUUGUUAAAAGGGAAACGAUUGAAGCCAGUAGGACCAUGGAGAGUUCAGCGGUACCCAUCGAGUAAUGUUGCAACGGGAGUGCUUUAUUGCAUCUCUAGCAAUGUACGCAGGUGGACUAUCGUGCAUUCUUUUCAUGGUUAGUCAGUGUCAAUUUGGGUUGUCGCCAAAGGACUUUGAGAAAGGGGGCCAAUGCCUCNGUAUUGGCUUUAUAGCUCAUUGUAGAUACGAUGACCUAGAUGGNAAUCGACNACNGCUAACAGGGGUGCUGGAUCUGCNNGUGUGAACAUUUGAGAAUCAGUAGAGUCUCGGAAUGUAUCUAACCGAGACAANGUGCCUUGGAUGCUGNUGUGAGUACUGACGAAAUGGCUUAANCGACCCNGUCUGAANNCACGAA